This 296-nucleotide signal recognition particle RNA is filed under the name Callithrix jacchus (white-tufted-ear marmoset). Its description in RNAcentral is "Metazoan signal recognition particle RNA (ENSCJAG00000058451.2)". It matches the Rfam family "Metazoan signal recognition particle RNA". Rfam says of the family: The signal recognition particle (SRP) is a universally conserved ribonucleoprotein. The record is from RNAcentral. Lineage: Eukaryota; Metazoa; Chordata; Mammalia; Primates; Cebidae.
GUUGGGCAUGGUGGCGCGUGCCUGUAAUCCCAGCUACUCAGGGGGCUGAGGCAGGAGAAUUGCCUGAACCCAGGAGGCGGAGGCUGCGGUGAGCCGAGUAACAAGAGCAAAACUCCAUCUUAAAAAAAAAAAGAAAAUUUACAAAAAUAUUUCACAUCCUUUUUUUAAAAAUUUUUAUUUUUUUAUUUUUUUUUGAGACGGAGUUUUGCUCUUGUUACCCAGGCUGGAGUGCAAUGGCGUGAUCUCGGCUCACCGCAACCUCCGCCUCCUGGGUUCAGGCAAUUCUCCUGCCUCAG